This 440-nucleotide ribosomal RNA is filed under the name uncultured bacterium. RNAcentral's name for it is "partial 16S ribosomal RNA". It matches the Rfam family "Bacterial small subunit ribosomal RNA", at positions 338 to 795 of the family's 1533-position model. The record is from RNAcentral.
CCUACGGAAGGCAGCAGUGGGGGAUAUUGCACAAUGGGGGAAACCCUGAUGCAGCGACGCCGCGUGUGGGAAGACGGUCCUCUGGACUGUAAACCACUGUCCCCAGGGACGAAGAUGACGGUACCUGGGGAGGAAGCUCCGGCUAACUACGUGCCAGCAGCCGCGGUAAUACGUAGGGAGCGAGCGUUGUCCGGAAUUACUGGGUGUAAAGGGAGCGUAGGCGGGACUGCAAGUUGGGUGUCAAAUCUACCGGCUCAACCGGUAGCCGCACUCAAAACUGCAGUUCUUGAGUGAAGUAGAGGCAGGCGGAAUUCCUAGUGUAGCGGUGAAAUGCGUAGAUAUUAGGAGGAACACCAGUGGCGAAGGCGGCCUGCUGGGCUUUUACUGACGCUGAGGCUCGAAAGUGUGGGGAGCAAACAGGAUUAGAUACCCUAGUAGUC